This 494-nucleotide ribosomal RNA is filed under the name uncultured bacterium. RNAcentral describes it as "partial 16S ribosomal RNA". It matches the Rfam family "Bacterial small subunit ribosomal RNA", at positions 28 to 507 of the family's 1533-position model. The record is from RNAcentral.
GACGAACGCUGGCGGCGUGCUUAACACAUGCAAGUCGAACGGAAAGGCCUGCUUUCCCUUGUGGAUUGCGGGUACUCGAGUGGCGAACGGGUGAGUAACACGCGAGUGAUCUGCCCCCAACUUGGGUAUAAGCCUGGGAAACUGGGCCUAAUUCUCGAUAGGACUGCAGGGUGGUGCCGUUGGUGGAAAACGUUUUUCUAGUGGUAGGGGCUGAGCUCGCGCCCUAUCAGCUUGUUGGUGGGGUAGUGGCCUACCAAGGCGGCGACGGGUAGCCGGACUGAGAGGGUGGACGGCGACAUUGAGACUGGGAUACGGCCCAUACGCCUGCGGGAGGCAGCAGUGGGGAAUAUUGCGCAAUGGGCGGAAGGCUGAUGCAGCGCCGCCGCGUGGGGGAUGACGGCCUUCGGGUUGUAAACUCCUUUCGACCGCGAGGAAGCCACCUGGUUGGAAGGGUGUUGACGGUAGUGGUAGAAGAAGCACCGGCUAACUACGUG